This 1742-nucleotide unclassified non-coding RNA is filed under the name Ooceraea biroi (clonal raider ant). RNAcentral's name for it is "aTP-binding cassette sub-family G member 1, transcript variant X1". The record is from RNAcentral. Lineage: Eukaryota; Metazoa; Arthropoda; Insecta; Hymenoptera; Formicidae.
AAGUGUAUAAACAUGAUUAAUAUAAAUAAUUUUACGUGUAACUUAUUUUUCAAUUGGUCUUAUUAUUGUUGUAUUCAAUGUUAUCUUAUUGUUAGAUGACCACGUUUAACGUACUUAAACGUAUAAUCCUAAGACAGCAUAUAACACAUGUAUUUAUGACAGUGGUGAAUUUUCUGUUGCAGCCUUCUGCCACAUCGACGUAAUUCGAAUAUACUCAUCACUUGGGUGUGCACGGGGAGGACAAACAAUGGAAGUAUUAAAGCUUGAAGUUAAGAAGUACGGACGUAAUGAAGCGAUCAAUCGACAAGAGGUCGAUGCACCAGCAAUGUGUAAUUGGAUUGACUUGGACCGAUCUUUGCCGGAGGAUGUCGACCAGGAUGCGACCAGCAUCACACGCGGCAACGGCAAAGAAUCGAUCAACAUAAUCUUCGAGAACAUCACAUAUACUGUGAACCUCGGCUUCAGGAAAGGAAAAAAAGAGAUUUUACACGGAAUUAAUAGAAGGCUUCCCAGCAAACAGUUGAUCGCUCUGAUGGGUCCAUCUGGUACAGGGAAGUCCACGUUAUUCGAUGUACUCUCUGGCUUCCGCGUAACCGGAGUGGAUGGUACUAUAUUUGUCAACGGUCAUGUCCGGAAUCUCAACUCUUUCCGGAAAAAAACAGGAUUGCAAAAAUCGAAGGAAAAUCCUACGGAGGAAAAAUAAGAAACAUUAAAAAAUUUUCAUUAAUUGACACGCUGUGCCAAAAAUUAUCAUGGACGGGGAAAAAAAACUCCGUAGCAUUAAAGGACACAGCAUUUGCUAGUGUAAUUAUAGAUUUCGUUACGAAUGCGGACUCGUGUAGUAUACAUGAUGCUACACGAGUAAGUCAAGAGUGGUUAAGACACGCUGGAGAUCGCGUAAAUUAUUCGAAAAAAAAUAAUAUAGUAGCUGACUGCAAUCUUGUAGCUUGACUGCGACAUCGUCGCGGGAAGACGUAAAGCCUACAACCAGAGUCCUUAUUGGUAAUGUUAUCGAGAGCACAUGCGAUUAACGGCGCGUAGAAGGUAUCUGGAGAAGCAUCGGAAGCUGGAGAUUGAGUCGACUAGUUCGCAGAGAACGAGCACUGAGAAUAUUAUAUUCAAGUAAAAAAGGACUGUAACUUGUAAUAUAAGUGAACUCGUUUCAAACAAAAACGCGAAAGUUGUAUAACGACGAGUUGUAAAUCUUGUAUAAAACUUCGUUUCGCAUGUAACGAGCAGGUCUCCGAAGUUUGUGAGGUUUGAUGGUAAAUCUUCUCAGGGCAUUUAAUAAUACUGAAACUGACAAUUUUUUCAUAGAGUUCAGAUUUGGAUACUAUAGGCGGUAAUUUACGCGAUCAAGUGCCCGCGUUAGAAGUGGCUCCUACAAUUUUAUGCUAAAAUAUCCCAAAUCUCUUGUAAACCUAAUUUAUUAAUUAUAAUUUAUCUAAUAUAUUAUGGUUCUUUAUUAUUUAGUUCUUAUAUUUUUUAGUUCUAGUUAUGGUUCUUUAUUAUUAAUUAGAUAUUAUUAUAAAUAUCUAAUUUAUUAUGGUUCUUAUCAUUGUUCAGACUGCAUUGCUCGAUAUAACUAUUAAAAAUCUAUCGUCUGUCGCUUGCGUCGUGAGGCGAAUUAAUCUUGACUAGGAAAGCUUAUUGCAAAACUUCACGAGCUUCCGAGCUCUAGUAUAUACGUAUAGUAUACAAUGACUAUAGUAUAUAUAAUAAUAUUAUAAUAAGAAUUAUAA